Long non-coding RNA from Grammomys surdaster, 670 nucleotides. RefSeq lists it as uncharacterized. The record is from RefSeq and is a predicted model, not a curated record. NCBI's taxonomy places the organism in Eukaryota, Metazoa, Chordata, Mammalia, Rodentia, Muridae. The transcript has 3 exons.
GAGUAGCCAGGCCUGGGGGAGCAGCUCAUCCAUGCCUUCAUUCUCAACAUUGCUACUUAUUUCCUGGGGAGAUGGCCUGGCCUCCAGCGAAUCACCAAGGAGUUCAGGACUGAGAUAAUCGAGGAUGUUGGUGAAGGCUGUGACAAAAGGCAAGUGACUUUUGUACAGAUCCCAGCAAUGCCACCAAACCCAUGGGGCUAUGGCUGCUCGCUGCAUGAAGUCCAGAGCCAACUGAGGAUUCCUCUGUUGACAAAUGCAUAGCAAGAGUACAGUAUAUGAAAGCACGCUCACUGAGCUGUGGAGAGGUGUGGAACUUGGUAGAGGAGGAAGAUGGCGAUCCAUUGAGGCAGCUAUCCUGUGGACUACAGUAAACCAAGUACUGCCUUCAGAGACUCAGGGGACACCUGGGACCACUUGGUCUCCAAAAAAUACAGCGACAUCGAGGAGUUUUACCAGAAACUGUACAAUCGUUACCCAGCAGCCAGCCUGCCCCCACUCCCCAGGAAGGUCCUGUUUGUCGGGGAGUCUGACAUCCGGGAAAGGAGAGCCAUGUUUGAUGAGAUUCUGCGCUGUGUCUCGAAGGAUGCCCAGUUGGCAGGCAGCCCAGAGCUGCUAGAAUUCUUAGCUCCAGCAGGAUGGUUUCCGCUCACCCCCAGCGCUUGCCCCCAGC